This is a long non-coding RNA of Liolophura sinensis, 994 nucleotides long. RefSeq lists it as uncharacterized. Lineage: Eukaryota; Metazoa; Mollusca; Polyplacophora; Chitonida; Chitonidae. The record is from RefSeq and is a predicted model, not a curated record. The transcript is spliced from 3 exons.
GUUUUACUGGCUUGUCUAGGAAACACAGGCUUAAACAGAUCCGUACUGAUUCUUUUUACUACACAGGCGUUCACUAUGAUUAACUGGAUGUUGUACUGGAUAGUCUUCGUUUUCACCAUUCCAUUCGACACUCAAGGUCAGUGCACAUCAAGGAGGUUCUCACCCUGCGAAUUUUCCUGUCAUUGCAAAGACAAUGAUCCUGCUUGUACGACCAGCCAUUUUUUGGAUAACGGAUGCAGCAAAAGUGAAUGUCAGGAAGGGUGGAGCGGAAAAUUCUGUCAGAAAAGUAAUAUUGCUUAUAAAAAAAGGGGUUCAGCCGCCAAACUUGGUGUCUUUGCUGCUCGGGCUUUUGACGGGUUUUUGGACACAGCGUAUCAAUCACCCUUCGAGGAAAAUUCUUAUCUUCAAGUGGAACUGUAUCCAGGUGACAUCUCAGCAAUGCAAAUCUACACCUCAGGUAAAAUACACACAUUACUUUCAGUGUAACAUCCCAUAGAUCAUAGCUGACCGCGUGAUCAGUAGCGUGAUAGUUAAGUGUCCGCCUGGAGAUCGAGAGAUCUGCGUCAAAACCUGGGUUUGGGCAUACCAAAGAUUUUAAAAAUGGUACUUGUUUCUGCCUUCCUUGGCACUCAAAAUUUAGAGGUUAGAGCAAAGAAACAGGAUGGAGGAACAAUGUGGCUGACCCUUCAUGACUGCUUCGGUGGCCUAAAGGUUAGUGCGUCCGCCUAGAAUACCGUCAAACCUUGGGAUCAAACCAAAGACUCGUCAUACCAAAGACUUUAAAAAUGAUAACUGUUUUAUUGUCUCGCUUGGCGCUUAGCACACAGAGGCUAGAGCAAGAAAACAGGACUGGUUGGCCCAAUGUCAGUUUAAUGUGACUGUGUGACGUGUCAUGAGUGGUUUCUUCGGCAUGAUACUUCAUUGGUGACACCACUUUGGCGGCAUGGACUCGCCUUGCCACAAGAAGACACAGUAUACGUGCACAGAUUGAAAA